UUCUGGUCAUUGGAAGACAUAUACUAGAAUAUUCUCAGUAGAAUUAUUUCUCUUGGCUGAAAACUGGAAAUGCUUAUCUUGGCAGAUUGCAAUAAUAGUCACAGUUCUCUGCAGCCCAUCCCAUUAGAAGGCAGAGUCUAUUUCUUCUCCCUUGAAUCUAUGUUGGUCAUGUGAUUUGCUGUGGCCAAUAGAGUGUGGUGGAAGCAACGUGCACCAGUACCAAGCCUAGGUUUUAAGAGGCCUUUUGCUCUCUUGGAACUUGCAGUUGCUGUGUGAAAAGUCUAGGCUAACCUGCUGGAGGAUGAGUGAUGGGUGGAGCACAGAUGAAUUUUCAGAGUUGGCUUCAUCUGAGACUAGCCAGCCCUAGCUGUGGAAGGCAGACACAUAGCAAACCCAGCCAAGAUCAGCCAAGCCCAGCCCAGAACAGAAGAACCACCAGGCUGAUCCCUGUCCAAAUCUACUUCUGGAAGCAUGUGCUAAAUAAACGGUUGCUGUUUUAAGCCACUAAGCUAUGGGAGGCUUUGUUCCCCAACAAUAACUAAUGGAUACAUCAUCAACAGUAAAAUGGAUAAAUGAAUUGUGGUAUAGCCACACAUGGAAUGACAAACAUGAAGGAGAAUAAAUAAACUACUGCUACACAAGACAACAUGGAUGAACCUCACAGAUACUAUGCUGUGUGAAGGAAGCUCAACAGGCAGAGUCCAUCCUACAACAUGCCAUUUAUACCGAAAGUACAAGAAUAGUUGCUGGAGAGCCAGUGGGAUUGCACCUUAUGCAGAGGACAGGUGCAUAAGGGGAAAAUCACUGAGAAUCAAAAUGCCCUUGAAAAUUCCUUGGGAAGCCGUCAUGUUGAAGCCAACCACCAUUUCUCAAUAAAUUCAGCACAGCCAGCUUUUCCUCCUGCAUUAGGACAGAUCGCUGUUUCUCCUGUCAAGCUCCAGAUACAGUAAAGUCACUCCAUUGCUCCUCUUUGAGCCAUCUGGAAAGUCACCUCAUCUUUCCAGACCUCAGCAUCCUCAUCUGUAAAUUGGGGGGCAUGUGGACUUGGACAGAACGGGCCCUCUCUGUCGCUUGGAGAGUCUAGGAUUGUAAGCUGCCCUCCAGGAGAUCAAAACACCACACAAUGCAGGCACUGGACAGACACGGGACACAGGGGCUCUGCUAGGGUACCUGGUGCUACAGAAGAGGGCGGGGAUUACCAGGCUCAGGAAGGAAGGUUGUUGGGAAUGAAGAUUGCAGACACGCUGCAAGAUGCAAGGCUGAGGUGCAUGCAGCGCACCGUGGCUUCAGGUGGGGACAGGCCUGGGGCAGCUUUUCCAGAUGGCAGGUCUGCUUUCUCCCAGCCCCGACAUGCCUUUCUGAAGUGUAAAGCAGCCCAGUCCUGGCCUCAGAAUGCUAGGGUGAACAUUUGGAGAAUGGGGUUCCAGCCACUGCAGAUGGAUUCAGAGGCACUAGAGACACAAAGAGAGCAAGAAUGAAAGGGAGGGGACCUGAAGGACAGACAGACACCCAGGGGCAGGAGAGAGAGCAGAGGGCUCUCCACUUGGCAAAUAUUUGUUGAGUGCCUACUAGGUGCCAGAUGCUGUGUUUGGGGCAAAGAGAGACAGAAGUAGAGAGAAUGGGAUAGGAGAAAGGAAGAGAGAGAAAGAAAAAGAGUCAGAGAAAGAGAGAGAGGAAGAGAGAAGCGUAUGGGAGAGAGAGAGAAAGAGAAAGAAGGAAGGAGAAAGGAAGAGAGAAAGGGAGACAGACAAAGAGAGGAAGAGAGAAAGGGGGAAGAGAGAGAAAGGGAAAGAGAAAGAGAGAAAGGGAGAGAGGGAAAAGGGAGAGAGAGAGAAAUGGGGGGAGAGAGAGAAAGGGAGAGAGAAAGCAACAGAAGGGGAGAGUGAGGAAGAGGCAAAGGGAGUGAGAGAGACAGAGGGAGAGAGAAAGAGAUAGACAGAGGGAAAGGGAGGAAGAGGAAAAGAGAGGGGAAAAGGGAGAGAGAGAGACGGAGAAAGAAAAAGAGAGAAAGCAAUAGAGAGAGAAAGAAGGAGUGGGGAGAGGGAGGGAGGGCAGGAGAGCGAGGGAGGAAGGGGUGGAGAUAGAAUGAGCCUAGAACCCGGUGGCUGGAGUU
Papio anubis (olive baboon) is the source of this 2113-nucleotide long non-coding RNA. Lineage: Eukaryota; Metazoa; Chordata; Mammalia; Primates; Cercopithecidae. The record is from Ensembl.